This 207-nucleotide ribosomal RNA is filed under the name uncultured bacterium. RNAcentral's name for it is "partial 16S ribosomal RNA". It matches the Rfam family "Bacterial small subunit ribosomal RNA", at positions 568 to 774 of the family's 1533-position model. The record is from RNAcentral.
CGGGCAGGCGGCUGGGUAAGUCGGACGUGAAAGCUCUCGGCUCAACCGGGAGAGGCCGUUCGAAACUAGUCAGCUGGAGGGCAGCAGAGGAGCGUGGAAUUCCGGGUGGAGCGGUGAAAUGCGCAGAGAUCCGGAGGAACACCAGAGGCGAAAGCGGCGCUCUGGGCUGCACCUGACGCUGAGCCGCGAAAGCAUGGGGAGCGAACG